RNAcentral lists this long non-coding RNA (709 nucleotides) under Nicotiana benthamiana. RNAcentral describes it as "long non-coding RNA (NBEN_LNC007150)". The record is from RNAcentral. Lineage: Eukaryota; Viridiplantae; Streptophyta; Magnoliopsida; Solanales; Solanaceae.
UAUGACCAUUGUGAGUUACUGUAUGUUUUGAUCUAUGGCUUUGAGCGAAGUGGAGGAGUCCGCUAUUGAUAAGUUGAUUUGACGGUUAUGUGUUGUAUUGGUUUUUGUUUGAGGUAUUGUAAAUGAGUUAUGUUCUGCAGAGGGUGAGAUCGAGGAUGACUUGAUUAAAGGAAUUUCUAGGUACGAGUUGUAUUAGGCUUUAUGAGUCUAUGAGAAUCACGGAACAAUUUGAGUUGUUAAUAGUGAAGGAUGUAAUGUGCAUGGAGCAGGAAUUUAUUUGGUUGCAUUAAUGUGGAGUUACUUCCUUGGGUGUUGGAAUGCUAAUGGGGCACAAGUCAUUCGAUCUGUUUGGUUAGUCUAAUUGAGAUUUAAGCAGAUUGGAUGGCUCUCGAGAAUGGUUCCAAUGAAUUUAAGAUUUAUACGUGGCAAUUGGAAUCUUCAGGAUGUGUCUAUGGCUAGAAACUGAGAUUUAUAGUGGAGGAUUUCAGGACUUGUGGAAUUUCUAUAUCAUUAUGAAUUCUAUAUAUCAGUAUCAGGAAGGCGAAGAUAACAUCUUUAGAUUUGCAGAAGGUCUUUUCAGAGCGGGUAUCUCGGUUAUGGUACUUUUGGGGUGCUUAAGAAGGAAUACAAUGGUUUAUGAGCCUUAUGGCAGUGUGGUUUAUGCUAAAGUUCGUGGGAGAGGUUUUAGUUAAGGAUAUUAGCGUACUAG